CCCGCUUGCUCCCGCCAGAGCGUUUUUUCGCGUCGGAUCAGCCCCGAUCGGGCGCCAUCUUCCCCCCCGCCGCGGGCCUCCUCCCCGGUGAGGAAACCCGAGGGCGGGCCGCGCCUCCUGCUCGGGGCCAGUUUGUAGAACCUGCGGUCUGCGCUCCAGAACGUUGGCUGAGGCCUGGGUUCGAAUUCCACCUGUGCCCCAGUCUGGCUGCUUAGCAAGCUCUAGCCAGGCUUUUUGCUUCUCUGAGCCUCAGUUCCCCUCUCUGCCAAGCGGAGUUAAUAACAGUACUUAAUCUCCUAGAGUUGUGGAAAGGAUUAAAUGGGAUAAUGAUGCAAAUAAAACGCUUACAUAGCCCAGGUCCUGACCCCAUUAUAAGCUCUUAAAUGACAGUUGUUGCUGUUAUCAUCCAGGUUUAUCAUCUGUGUGAUGCGGUCAUAAGAACUGUGAGAAUUUAGAUCCUAGGCCAACCCCUCCUUUUCCUGUUACCUUUUCUGUGUCUUCUCUCCACAUAGAUUUAUUUCUGUUUACAGAGCAUCCCUAUGUAUAGAUUUCUGCUGACAGGGAGGGGUAAGUCUGGAAGAUGAAGAGAUGCCUCAGCCAUGUCCCUGUCCUCAUGGAGUCAAUUGUUUGUGAGAGGCACUAGUAAUACAAAUGCAGCGUGGCUGGGGAGACCUGUAAACAGACUUUACAGCCAGUGCGUGGGAGACCAAGGAGUGGAGCAACCAACUCCGCCAUGGAGAAGUUGUGUGAAAGCUUCACAUUUGACCUAGGUUGGAAAGGAGGAAUAAGUUUACAGAUAGAAAGACCAGUGUGUCCAGUGAUUCAGAAGUGGUGCAGGCAAUGGUGUAUCAGUGUACAUGGGAGAGGUAGGGGGGAGUGGCAAGAGAGAGCAGGAAGGGGUAGAUUGGGACUAGUUUAUGAAAGAUGUUGAAUACACUUCAGAAAAAUCUCUGCUGCCAUGUGAAGAAUGGAUUAGAGAGGAGCAACGCUGGGUAGGAAAACCAGUGGAGAGGCUGUUAUACAGUCCAGGGAGAUAUGACUGAACUAGUAACUGGAGCCCUGGUGGCACAGUGGUUAAAGCGUUUGACUGUUAACCUAAAGGUCUGCAGUUGGAACCCACCAGCCGCUCCGCGCAAGAAAUUUGUGGCAGUCUGCUUCUUUAAAGAUUUACAGUCUUGGAAACUAUGGGGCAGUUCUACUCCGUCCUAUAGGAUUGCUGUGAGUCGGAAUCGACUCCACCGCAGUGGAUUUGGAUUUGGUUUAAACUAGUAACUGUGGGAAUGGGGAAAAGAUUUGUAUUUGGAGGUAGAGCAGAAAGGAGUGUGGAUCUGGAUAGUUAAGAAUAAGGAGAAGUAAAGGAGAACAUAGUUUUUCUAGUUGGAAGACCAGGUAGAUCAGAAUGCCAUGAACUGAAUUAGGAAAUUAGGGACUCCCUUUCCCAUUGCCGUUGAGUUGAUUCUGACUCACAGCAACCCUACAGGACAAAGUAGAACCGCCCCAUAGGGUUUCCAAAGCAUUGCCUUUACAGAAGCAGACUGCCACGUAUUUCUCCUGCAGAGUGGCUGGUGGGUUCAAACCGCCAACCUUUCAGUUAGCCAAGCGCUUAACCACUUUGCCACCAGGGUUCCUUCAACACAAAAUAAUUGGUAAGCAAAGUAAGGUAUGUGUUAAAGGGAGAUAGGAGUAUUUCUAGAAAUAAGUUCUGUAGAAGUUCAGAGUAGAUGAUGACCCUUGGUGAUACUCUCUGUGAAGGCGGUGAGAUGGGAUUGUGCUAGAUGGUAUUGUCAGGUAGGUAGAAUUUCACGAGGCAGAGACAGUUGGUGAGGUGGGCGGUUCAGAGAGGCUGGAGAGGAUGAAGCCUAUUCCGAAGUAGCAAAGCCCCAGUGAUACUGGGGCUGAAGUGUGGAGAACAGAUCACCUUGUUUUCCUAUUUUCAGGGUUCUGCACCCAGAAUGACUUCAGUGUCUAGAUCAGAGAAUGUUGAAGUGCUAGAAGAGGAACCAGUGAUGUCUAAGACUCAUGAUCAUCAGUUGAAAUCAAGCUCCAACCUUGUGGAAGUAUGUACUAAAUCGUCUGCCUCCCUGGAGAUGACUAAAAGCAUUGCAAAGGAAAGAAUUCACCUUGGCUCUAGCCCUCCAAAAGGGGGAAGUUGUGAUCUCAGCCACCAGGAAGGACUUCAGUCCAGGUCCCUUCAUUUGUCCCCCCAAGAACAAUCUGUCCAUCAAGGCAGAAGGCAAUCCUGGCGGCGAGCAAGUAUGAAAGGAAUGAACCGGCGGAAGUCACUGCCUCCCUUUCACCAGGGCAUCACAGCGCUCAGCAGAUCCAUCAGUGUCAACUUAGCAGAAAGUAAACGACUUGGUGCUCUCCUGCUUUCCAGUUUCCAGUUCUCUAUUCAGAAACUGGAACCUUUCCUAAGGGACACUGAGGGCUUCAGUCUUGAAAGUUUUAGAGCCAAAGCAUCUUCUCUUUCUGAAGAAUUGAAACAUUUUGCAGACAAACUGGAAAGUGAUGGAACUCUACAAAAAUGCUUUGGAAAGUCAAAAGAAAAAGAAUUAGAUUUGUCUCUGGAAGCAUCAGUGGCUGAGAUGAAGGAAUAUAUAGCAAAAUUUUCUUCAGAACGUCAGACUUGGGAUCACCUCUUGCUGCAUUACCAGAAGGAGGCUGAAGAGAUACCGUCCAGGUCAGCUGAAGGCAGAAUUAUUGAAGUUGAAGUGGAACCUACAACAUAUCUUGGGUCUUCCCAGAGUGAAGUUCUAAAUACAAAACCAGACUACCAGAAAAUAUUACAGAACCAAGAAAAGGUCUUUGACUGUAUGGAGUUGGUGAUGGAUGAACUGCAAGGAUCAGUGAAGCAGCUGCAUGCCUUUAUGGAUGAAAGUACCGAGUGUCUCCAGAAGGUGUCAGUACAGCUUGGGAAGAGAAGCAUGCAACAAAUAGAUCCCUCACCAGCUCGAAAACUGCUCAAGCUUCGGCUACGAAAUCCGCCUACCACACAUUGCUCUGGAUCUUGUCAGUGACUUUAUGCAGCUUUUCUGCCAUAAGCACUCAAGAUGAGAGGAAUGGGAAGAGUGUCCCAGCACAAGGCGAAAAGAGACCAGUUGUUGUGUCUUGGAUGGCUGCUUGCAAGCUUUAAGACCUCAGGCAGUAUGCAACGAACCUACAUUCAUUCCUUAUUCAUCUACAAAACUGCCUACCACAUGUUGCUCUGGAUCUUGUCAGUGACCUUAGGCAGCUUUUCUGUAACAAGGCACUCAAGGUGCUUCAUUCAUAUAUUUACUGAGACCCUGUUACAGGUACAGCUUUAGGAACUGGAGAGAGAUCAAAGAACAAAAACAUAUAUGGGACCUCCCCUCAUGGAGCUCAUAGUCUAGUGGGAACUCAGGGAACAAGAAGAGAAAACUCUAGAAAUGAUGUUUUAGCUGAUUUGGGAAGGAUGAAGGAGCUAGAUGGGGCAAGUAUUUCAGGCAAAAGUUGCAGAAUUUUCAAAGACCUUAGGAGAGAGGGAGAGCGGAACAUUCUGGGUCACAAAAAACACAAGCAAAGCAGGAGUGCAGAGCACCAGUGGAAGAGUGACCUGAGACAAAGACAAAUCAAGACAUCGUUAGAAGAUUUUAAGAGGAAGAGAGAUAUGAUCAGAACUUUAUUUUUUAAAAGAUCAUUCUAGUCACGGUGUGAAGAAUAGAUUGAAGCAAGCAAGAUAUGGAUGUGGGAGACCAGUUAAGACUAUAUAGUAGUCUGCCUGAGAAAUGAUGGUUUAUGCUAAGUGUUGGCAGUACAUGAAUGAGGACUGCCUGUAUUGCUCAUUGUGCCUGGAACGUAGUAGACAUGUAAUCUAUUUGUUAAAAGCCUAGCUCUGCCGUUGACUAAUUGACCAAGAAAAGUUACCUCUUAAACCUAUAAAACUGGGAGAAUGUUAGAACCUAUAUCACAAGGAUGUUAUAAGGAUUAGAUUAAAUAAUACAGUAAUAAGUUUAGAACAGUGGUAUCAAUAUGAUGGGGAGUAGGGAAGGGUGUUUAAGACUUGAGCAACUGAAUGGAUGAUAAACAAAUCAAGAUGUAAAUGCCAGUAGUUCAGUUUAGAAGUCAAGUAGACUUGGAUAUACAGGUGGAAAGCUGGGUAGAAAAAUCUGGACUAGAGAUAAAAAUUUUGGAAUUACGAAUGUCUAGUUAUUGAAGCCUUGGGGAUGAAUGAGAUUGUCCAGAGAAUAGUACAAGAAAAAGCCCCAAGAAAAGCCAACAUUUAAGAAUCAAAGGAGUAGUGUUAAUAGCGUACUCUUGGAAACAGUGGUAUAAUGGAAUGCGUGUAGAUUUUAGAAUGAAUCUUCAUCUCUUAUUCUCAGUUUCCUCAUCUGUAAAAUGAGGAUUGAUUAUCUCUCUCCAAAGGUGGUUGUACCUUUCUCCAUUUUAUUUAUAUCGUACUGAAUUAUAAAAAUUUAUUCAAGCUCAAGGAGAAGUGUGUUUUCGUGUCUUCGACAGCUAAGCAGGAUAAAGCAUAGAGAAAUAACAACACUUAUUAAGCUCUAAAUGUUUUACAUGCAUACUGUUAUUCUUACUACAACCUUAUGAGAUAAAUUCUGUUUUUUUCUCCUGAUAGAUGAGAAACUCAGGCAUGGAAAGGCUUAAUAACCUAACCAACAACCUACAGAUAGUGGAGGGUGAAUCAGAACCAGUUUGGCACUCAGUAAAUAUUUGUUAAUGAAUGAACCUAAAUCAUGUAAUAAGGGGCUGUGCUCAAUUAAUGUUAGUUUUUCCCUCUUCCCAAAUUCGGUUCAGGAAUUGUGAUUGAGGCUGAAUCUACAAAGAUGAAUAACACAUCUGUCUUGAGACCAGAAGAACUAGAUGGUGCCCGUCUACCACUAAGGACCAUUCUGAUCAGGGCCACAGUAGAUGGAUCCUGAUAAAAGGGGAGAAAAAUGUGGAACAGAACUCAAAUUCUCAAAAAGUCCAGACUUACUGAACUGGGUGAGACUGGAGGACUCUCUGAGACUAUCAACCUGAGAUACUUCAUAAACCUAGAACCAAAGCUACCUCGUGAGGUCACCUUUUGGCAAAAUAAGAGAUUGGCUCAUAAAAUAAAGAAUUUUACCAGUGAGUUCUGCACACCUUUGAAAAAUCACCUAUAUGAGACAAAAUGGUAACAAUUACUCUAAAGCAAAAAUGAAAGGAUAAGGGGACGGGGAAACUGGAUUACUGGAAGCAAAAAUCCAGAGUGGAAUUGUCAUGGUUUGACUUACGUCCCCCCAAAAAUGUGUAUACCAAUUUGACUGGGCCAUAAUUCCCAGAAUUGUGUGGUUGGCCUCCAUUUUGUGAUUGUAAUUUUAUGUUAAAGACGAUUAG
This is an RNA transcript of Trichechus manatus latirostris (Florida manatee), 5337 nucleotides long. It is a transcript of the gene named DSN1 component of MIS12 kinetochore complex, with no coding region annotated. NCBI's taxonomy places the organism in Eukaryota, Metazoa, Chordata, Mammalia, Sirenia, Trichechidae. The transcript has 11 exons. The record is from RefSeq and is a predicted model, not a curated record.